ACAGAGUUCUGCUAGUGGCAGACGGGUGAGUAGUACAUGGGAAUCUACCUUGCAGUGCGAAAUAACAGUUGGAAGCAAUUGCUAAUGUCGCAUAUAGCCGAGAGGUGAAAGAUUUAUCGNUGNAAGACGAGCCCAUGCAGGAUUAGCUAGUUGGUGAGGUAAUGGCUCACCAAGGCAACGAUCUUUAGUUGGUCUGAKAGGAUGAUCAGCCACACUGGAACUGAGACACGGUCCAGACUCCUACGGGAGGCAGNAGUGGGGAAUAUUGGACAAUGGGCGCAAGCCUGAUCCAGCKACGCCGCGUGAGUGAAGAAGGCCUUCGGGUUGUAAAGCUCUUUUAGUGGGGAAGAUAAUGACGGUACCCACAGAAAAAGCCCCGGCUAACUUCGUGC
RNAcentral lists this ribosomal RNA (392 nucleotides) under Candidatus Midichloria mitochondrii. RNAcentral's name for it is "bacterial SSU rRNA". It matches the Rfam family "Bacterial small subunit ribosomal RNA", at positions 81 to 508 of the family's 1533-position model. The record is from RNAcentral. Lineage: Bacteria; Pseudomonadati; Pseudomonadota; Alphaproteobacteria; Rickettsiales; Candidatus Midichloriaceae.